Molecule: long non-coding RNA, 793 nt
Organism: Setaria italica (foxtail millet)
Lineage: Eukaryota; Viridiplantae; Streptophyta; Magnoliopsida; Poales; Poaceae
Exons: 2
Source: RefSeq, a predicted model, not a curated record
ACUAAAUAUACGCGAAUUUGAGCAAACAAGAAAGGAGACCCUGGUCUCGUUCUUCUCUCUCCCGUUCCCUUCCCCUGCUACAGUCCCCAAAAGGCGAACCGGAGGUGAGCGCUGUUCCGGCACCAAUCGCUCCGGUUCCCCUCUUCUCCGGUGGCCGCGUCGGCGCCGGAGAGGGAGGGGAACCGGGGGAGUUUGGUUGUCCGGCUGUAUAUCACCUUCCCUGGUUUACAUCUAGUUAGGGUUGCUUGCUUGUUCCCAUGUGGAUCUCGCUUGGGGAUUUUGCUGCGUCCGCUUUCUUUUCCGGCGAUUCGUCUGUCGUUGACGAUUGCUUGGAUGAAGAAAGCGUGAGAUGCCUCUUUCUCGGCUUCGUUCCCGGCGGUGGCUGUGCGUUCAACUCCGCCGACUCCUUUUCCAGUCGCUGGUUCUUCCGCUGGCGAUGGCGGAUCUGUGCUUCUCUUCUGCUUUCAGGCGUGCGGGCGGCCGAUGUUCUUUCAACGGAAUCGAGGCGUGCUGGUGGAAUCCAGGCGCUGGAUCAUGCGGCACAUCCAAGCUUUGGAGCCUUGCGUCUUGGCGGAAGAUGAAGAUGUUCUGGUCCUGGUGGGCGUCGCCGGCGACUGGGACGGAGGAAGACGACGACGCGAAGCAGGUUAUGGUGUUUGGAGUUGCGUUGUGUAAUUCCAAUUUGUCCAGGGGCUUGGCUGUAAAAGGUCGGGGAUGUAAUGUGCUGAUAUUGCUGUUUAAUAUAGUUCCCUCCUUUUCGCAAAAAAAAAACGCGAAUUUGAAAUUACUUUUU